AGACUAUUUCUCUCUUCUCUCGCUCGCUCAGCUCCAUCUUCUCUGUGUUCACCAUUUUUUUUCAUCCCUCUCUUCGUCUUCAAAUCCCAGCAGCAUACUAAGUGCUAGGAGCGGCGCAUCCAAGGCUCGAGGAGGACAACCGAAGCAAGCUUGAAGAGGUUUGAAUUCAAUCACUUAAGGUGGGGUUUACUUUUAUCUGUAAGCGUAGUUGUUACAUGGUUAUAAUCAUUGUUGUGUCGUGCGUCAUUCAUAUGAACUAAUGGGACCCACAAGGGGUCGGAUCCACAAGGGAUCAAAGAGCUGAACGGCCCACAAGGGGUUAGGUCCACAAGGGACCGAGACUAGUCUCACAAGAUGCCAGCUAAGUGAAAAAUUAUAAGAGUUCAACAUGUUAUGAUUCAUUACACAAUUGGUUAUAACUGCUUGCAGUGUUUACCCCACUGAGUGUGCUUGCACACUCAUACCCUAUUAUUUAUGAUUCUUUUUCAGGUUAAGGAGUUGACGGCAAGACGGCAGACCUGGAGCUCCACAUUCUCCCGUUCUAUUAUAUGAUGAAGUAUUAUAUGUUGCUGUUUUUGGUAAAUAUAUCUUGCUACUAACCAACUUAGCCUCUUCCAAUUUUGGUGGGUCGAGACUUUAUAUAUAUUGGUUUAUGAUCAUGCAUUUUGAUGACGGCUGUGACCGAAUAUAUACAUUUUGUUU
Salvia miltiorrhiza (redroot sage) is the source of this 702-nucleotide long non-coding RNA. RefSeq lists it as uncharacterized. The record is from RefSeq and is a predicted model, not a curated record. The transcript is spliced from 2 exons. NCBI's taxonomy places the organism in Eukaryota, Viridiplantae, Streptophyta, Magnoliopsida, Lamiales, Lamiaceae.